GUGAUCGUACCACCGGUUAGGUCAAAAGCAGACUGUCGAGUGAUUGCUGUGUUAAAAAAUUCUCAUUCUCAUUCUCUCCGAUUAAUGGCUGCUUCAAAUUCUUCUAAAUUGUUUCGUGUUGGUCGUUCAAUCCUGGGUGGUCUGAGCAACAAUGCUCUUGGGGCGAGCAGACUGUCUUCAAAAUUGGCAGAUAUGGAUUUCUUUUCUCAACAAACAAGAACAUUCAUACAGAUGAGGACAAACCUUAAAGUGGUGGACAAUUCUGGGGCAAAAAGAGUGAUGUGCAUACAAGCAUUGAAGGGAAAGAAAGGAGCUAGAUUGGGGGACGUAAUAGUAGCAUCGGUCAAGGAAGCACACGUUGGUGGGAAAGUGAAGAAAGGAGAUGUUCACUAUGCUGUUGUAGUUCGUGCUGCAAUGCCACGGGGCCGUUGUGAUGGGAGUGAAGUCAAGUUUGACGACAAUGCUGUUGUACUCAUCAACAAGCAAGGCGAGCCAAUCGGCACCAGAGUGUUUGGUCCUGUUCCUCAUGAGUUGAGGAAAAAGAAACAUCUCAAGAUUCUCAGUCUUGCUGAGCAAAUUGCCUAGAGUGUUAUCACAGGCCUGCUUAUGUCUGUCAUUUUAUUCUCCCUUUUAAUGAGGUUGUGCUUCGGUGUAUCAGACCUCUCCCAGAAUUUCAACUGUAGAGCUCUCCCCUCCAGCAUCUUCUCGACUUCCUCAAUGGGAAGGCCCUUCGUUUCAGGCACGCAAACCAGCACAAAGACCAGAGCUACAACUGAA
This is an RNA transcript of Salvia splendens (bonfire salvia), 777 nucleotides long. It is a transcript of the gene named 50S ribosomal protein HLP, mitochondrial, with no coding region annotated. The transcript has 4 exons. NCBI's taxonomy places the organism in Eukaryota, Viridiplantae, Streptophyta, Magnoliopsida, Lamiales, Lamiaceae. The record is from RefSeq and is a predicted model, not a curated record.